Molecule: transfer RNA, 69 nt
Filed under: Dipodomys ordii (Ord's kangaroo rat)
Lineage: Eukaryota; Metazoa; Chordata; Mammalia; Rodentia; Heteromyidae
Rfam family: tRNA
About the family: Transfer RNA (tRNA) molecules are approximately 80 nucleotides in length. Their secondary structure includes four short double-helical elements and three loops (D, anti-codon, and T loops). Further hydrogen bonds mediate the characteristic L-shaped molecular structure. tRNAs have two regions of fundamental functional importance: the anti-codon, which is responsible for specific mRNA codon recognition, and the 3' end, to which the tRNAs corresponding amino acid is attached (by aminoacyl-tRNA synthetases). tRNAs cope with the degeneracy of the genetic code in two manners: having more than one tRNA (with a specific anti-codon) for a particular amino acid; and 'wobble' base-pairing, i.e. permitting non-standard base-pairing at the 3rd anti-codon position.
Source: Rfam by way of RNAcentral
GGGAAGGUGGCUCAGUGGUAGAGUGCUUGCCUUGCAUCCAUGAGGCCCUAGGUUCGAUUCCCCUCCCCC